RNAcentral lists this long non-coding RNA (2717 nucleotides) under Homo sapiens (human). Its description in RNAcentral is "HSALNT0290063". Lineage: Eukaryota; Metazoa; Chordata; Mammalia; Primates; Hominidae. The record is from RNAcentral.
AAACCAGAACAUUUACUGCAUGACUAAUUGUUGAAAUUCUUAAGCUGAUCAAAGUGCUCCAACAGCUGCCCUCUUUGGUUUAGGUGUUGUUUCCUCACGGAGUCCAUGCCUGAAUCUGUGGUGUACAAUUUUUAGGUGCCUCGUUCGGCCAGUCCUGGUGGCAUUUUGUCUUUUAGCCUUGGCACUCCAGUUAUACGUCCUCCUGCACUUGGCGGGGUAGCCACAUUUGCCACAGGUCAACUUCUGAAGGUGGUAGGCCUUCACGCCACAGCGGUGGCACAAUGUGUGUGUCCUAUUGCAACACUUUCCAAACGGUCAUCUCACUUCUGUGGCUGAGACCAGAGAGACCUUUUUAAUUUUUUUUUUUGAGACAGAGUCGUGCUCUGUUGUCCUGGCUGGAGUGUAGUGGCGCAAUCAUAACUUACCGCAGCCUCGACCUUCCGGGCUCAAGCUAUCCUCCCACCUCAGCCUUCUGAGUAGCUGGGUCUAUAGGCGUGUGCCACGCCCAGCUAAUUUAUACAUUGUUUUUGGAGAUGGAAUCUCGCUCGCCAUGUUGCCCAGGCUGGUCUUGAACUCCUGGGCUCAAGCAGUCUUCCUGCCUCAGCCUCCCAAAGUGCUGGGAUUAUGGGUGGGAGCUCCCGCCCACACUCGGCCAAUUCAGUAGUUUUUAAUACAUCUACAAAGUUGUGUAGCCAUCGCCACUACCUAAGUUCAGAACAUUUUUCAUCACCCCGCAGCCUUCUGGACUGAGUGGAGUCAGCAUGCUCAGGGGUUGGCAGCAUCUGUUCAGGGGGCUCGAGGUUCUUCUUUGGUGUCUUUUCAAGUUUCUAUACCUGUCCAGUACUGAAGCUGGAAUUGGAGAUUGACCUUUUGUCCAAGUCAUAACUUAAUAUGCUAUUUCCUGAAACUGCUUUUAAGAAAUGUUAAGGUGCAAAUGAGGAUCCAGUUUGGGCCCACAUUUUUCUAAGUUGGAUGAAGAGCAGUUGAGUGGAGUUUCUAGUUGCACUCGAGACUCUGUACUGUGCAGACAGUUUAUUGGUGGAGUUGCCUCAGGAUAAAAAUACCCAGCUCUUCUCAGUAGUGGGUGGGAGACUUUGGGUGAUGGUGAUUUCCGUAAAGGAGAAGCUGAGCCUGGUUGGAAGGAAAAAGGAAGAAUAUACGGAGAGGCUGGCAUUCUUUAGCUGAGUGGAUUUAGGCUUGAGCUGGAGUCAGAAUCACCUGGGAGGCUUGUUCAAACACAGAUUGCUGGGCCCCAUCCCCAGAGUUUCUGUUCCAGUAGGUCCUGGGUGGGGCCUGAGGAUGUGCAUUUCUAACAAGUGCCCAGGUGAAAGCUCACUUAGAGGAAGAAUCUCAGCCUCCUGGAAGUGUGUUCUAAUUAACUUCACUGGACUGUAGGCUCAGCUUUGCCAUCCCCAUACCACUCAUGCAUGUUUUGGUGUGCUUUGGCUACAUAGGUUACAGUUGAGCUUUCUAGAGCUUUUUUCUCAUGUCUUUAGCUAGUAGGCACCUAAAAGUUGUAGAAUGCAUAGGUUUUAUUUUUGGCAUUUAUCUGAAGUAUCUGUUCAUGUCUUGACAUAUAGGAAGCUCUUUUAAAGUUUGGGUGGCAGUGGAGAGGGCAUAUAGAAGCAUAUUCUAAUUUUUCAAUGUUUUUUGAAAGGGUAGCAUGAACAAUAGUCUCCCCACUCCUUCUUCAUAUCCGUUUGGCUCAAGUAGCUGAAAACAGCAGAACCUUAAAGCUGAGUGUCACAGUCUGCCUGCCUACCUGCCUGUCUACCUGUCUACCUGCCUAUCCAGCUACCUGCCUACCCACCUUCAAGUCUUUUCGAAUACUGCCUACCCCAGACUAGGUGAGAUCACCUGGGAUGCAGAAGAUAGAUGGAGAAAGGGAGACUAAGCCCCGAGCAGUGCAGGAGGAGCCAGCACAGGAGGCUGCAGGGGAGCCAGGGAGGCAGUGCUGAGGCAGGCAGGUGUGAAGUGGAAGCCAGGAGAAGGACAUGUUUUAAGGAGGGUGCGUCACUUUUAUGUUUGCUACUGUAACCAGUUAUCACAAAUUUAGUGGCUUAAAACAACACAGAUUUCUUAACUGUUCUGUAGGUCAGUCAUCUGACAUGGGUCUCACUGGGUUGCCAUCAGGGUGCCAGCAGGGCCAUGUUCUUUAUGGAGGCCCUAGAGAGGAAUCUGUUUCCUUGUUUGUUCCACCUUCUAGAGUCUGCUUAAUGUUCCUUGGCUUGUGGCUCCCUCCUUCAUCCUUGAUGCCAGCGACGUAGAGUCUUUGUGACCCUGCUCUCUUCUCAUUCACUCACCCUGACCUCUUCUGCCUCUUUCUUCCACUUUUAAGGACCCUUUUAAUUACGCCGAGUCCACCUGGAUAAUCCAGGAUAAUUUUCCUAUUUUAAGGUCAGCUGAUUAACAACCUAAAUUCUAUCUUCAGCCUUAAUUCCCCUUUGCCUUGUGAUGUUAUUUAUUUACAGGUUCUGGGGAUUAGGGUGUGUAUAUCUUUGGGGUUCCUGUUCUUCCUUUCACAGAGGGUAUCACAAAGGUUACUGGGAAGUUGGAUAAAAUGAGGACGGAGAAGUCAUUGUUGGAUUUGGUCAACUGAUUAGUAACCUCAAUGGGUGGUUCCAGUGGAGUGUUGGUGCGGUGGCCCAAUGGGAGUGAGUUGAAGAGCCAGCGAGGUGAGGACGUGGAGGCUACACAUCUUAAUGGUUCUUGGUGGC